CACGUAGGGGACGAGCGUUGUCCGGAAUUACUGGGCGUAAAGGGCGCGUAGGCGGUGCAGCAAGUCAGCUGUGAAAUGUCUGGGCUCAACUCGGGCAUGCGGUUGAGACUGUUGUGCUGGAGUGCUGUAGAGGCAAGUGGAAUUCCCAGUGUAGCGGUGAAAUGCGUAGAUAUUGGGAGGAACACCGGUGGCGAAGGCGACUUGCUGGGCAGCAACUGACGCUGAGGCGCGAAGGCCAGGGGAGCAAACGGGAUUAGAUACCCCGGUAGUCCUGGCGGUAAACGAUGAAUGCUAGGUGUGAGUGUAGAGAUACAUUUGUGCCGCAGUUAACGCGAUAAGCAUUCCGCCUGGGGAGUACGGUCGCAAGAUUGAA
Molecule: ribosomal RNA, 373 nt
Filed under: uncultured bacterium
Lineage: Bacteria
Description: bacterial SSU rRNA
Rfam family: Bacterial small subunit ribosomal RNA
Source: RNAcentral